GCCAGGCACGAUGGUGCAUGCCUAUAAUCCCAGCAGCUUAGGAGGCUGAGACAGGAGGAUCGCGAGUUUAAAGUCAGCCUCAGCAACUUAGCAAGACACUAAGCAACUCAGCGAGACCCUGUUUCUA
Molecule: small RNA, 127 nt
Filed under: Marmota monax (woodchuck)
Lineage: Eukaryota; Metazoa; Chordata; Mammalia; Rodentia; Sciuridae
Source: RNAcentral